This 1301-nucleotide ribosomal RNA is filed under the name metagenome. Its description in RNAcentral is "bacterial LSU rRNA". It matches the Rfam family "Bacterial large subunit ribosomal RNA", at positions 1636 to 2925 of the family's 2925-position model. The record is from RNAcentral.
ACACGACCGUACCGCAAACCGACACUGGUGCGCGAGAUGAGUAUUCUAAGGCGCUUGAGAGAACUCAGGAGAAGGAACUCGGCAAAUUGACACCGUAACUUCGGAAGAAGGUGUGCCUUUAGUAGGUGAAGUCCCUCGCGGAUGGAGCCCAAUGAGGUUGCAAAAAAUCGGUGGCUGCGACUGUUUAUUAAAAACACAGCACUCUGCAAACACGAAAGUGGACGUAUAGGGUGUGACGCCUGCCCGGUGCUGGAAGAUUAAAUGAUGGGGUGCAAGCUCUUGAUUGAAGUCCCAGUAAACGGCGGCCGUAACUAUAACGGUCCUAAGGUAGCGAAAUUCAUUGUCGGGUAAGUUCCGACCUGCACGAGUGGCGUAACGAUGGCCACACUGUCUCCUCCUGAGACUCAGCGAAGUUGAAAUGUUUGUGAUGAUGCAAUCUCCCCGCGGAAAGACGGAAAGACCCCAUGAACCUUUACUGUAGCUUUGUAUUGGACUUUGAACAGAUCUGUGUAGGAUAGGUGGGAGGCUUUGAAGCAGGGUCGCUAGAUCUUGUGGAGCCAACGUUGAAAUACCACCCUGGUGUGUUUGAGGUUCUAACCUAGGCCCGUAAUCCGGGUUGGGGACAGUGCAUGGUAGGCAGUUUGACUGGGGCGGUCUCCUCCCAAAGUGUAACGGAGGAGUUCGAAGGUACGCUAGUUACGGUCGGACAUCGUGACGAUAGUGCAAUGGCAUAAGCGUGCUUAACUGCGAGACUGACAAGUCGAGCAGAUGCGAAAGCAGGACAUAGUGAUCCGGUGGUUCUGUAUGGAAGGGCCAUCGCUCAACGGAUAAAAGGUACUCUGGGGAUAACAGGCUGAUACCGCCCAAGAGUUCAUAUCGACGGCGGUGUUUGGCACCUCGAUGUCGGCUCAUCUCAUCCUGGGGCUGUAGCCGGUCCCAAGGGUAUGGCUGUUCGCCAUUUAAAGAGGUACGUGAGCUGGGUUUAAAACGUCGUGAGACAGUUUGGUCCCUAUCUUCCGUGGGCGCUGCAGAUUUGAGGAAGCCUGCUCCUAGUACGAGAGGACCGGAGUGGACGCACCUCUGGUGUAUCGGUUGUCACGCCAGUGGCAUUGCCGAGUAGCUAUGUGCGGAAGAGAUAACCGCUGAAAGCAUCUAAGCGGGAAACUCGUUUCAAGAUGAGAUCUGCCGGGGCCUUGAGCCCCCUGAAGAGUCGUUCAAGACCAGGACGUUGAUAGGUCGGGUGUGGAAGCGCAGUAAUGCGUUAAGCUAACCGAUACUAAUUGCUCGUGCGGCUUGACCCC